RNAcentral lists this ribosomal RNA (597 nucleotides) under Crangonyx hobbsi. RNAcentral describes it as "partial large subunit ribosomal RNA". It matches the Rfam family "Eukaryotic large subunit ribosomal RNA", at positions 170 to 632 of the family's 3401-position model. The record is from RNAcentral. Lineage: Eukaryota; Metazoa; Arthropoda; Malacostraca; Amphipoda; Crangonyctidae.
GCUAUCCCGACUAACGGAGGGACUGACUCCACGGAGGGUGUAAGACCCGUGUGGGCGCGUGUUAAAGCUGAUUGGGGUUGGCCUCUUUUCCCUGAGAGUCGCGUUGCUCUGGCAUGCAGCGCUAAGCAGGUCGUAAACUCGAUCUAAGGCUAAAUAUUUCCACAGGCCCGAUAGCGAACAAGUACCGUGAGGGAAAGUUGAAAAGCACUCUGAAGAGAGAGUCAAAAGACCGUGAAACCGCUCAGAGUAUAAGCCCAUGGAGCUCGGAAGGCAUACCGCAGUCCUAUAACAAGGUCGGCUUGCAUGAAUGGUCCGUCAGGCAGUGGCAUUGAGUUGAUAACACGCUGACGUGCGGGGGAGGACACUGGUCGCGUAGACGGGCUUCGGCCCGUUUUGCACGGCCAGCUACUCCCUUGAGCACGGACGUUCAAGGGUGCUUGCCGUAUGCGGAAACGCCCACCACGUCUCGUUGCGUGGUCACCCACAGGCUCGACUGUCGAUCGCGUGUUCACCUCGUUCGCAAAGAUGUGUCGAUGGCUGUCCCUGGCCCCCCCUCUAGGGGUCGGGACUGACACUUGCGUUCGAGGCUACUUAUUU